UUGAGUUUGAUCAUGGCUCAGAUUGAACGCUGGCGGCAGGCCUAACACAUGCAAGUCGAGCGGCAGCACGAGGAAGCUUGCUUUCUUCGUGGCGAGCGGCGGACGGGUGAGUAACACAUGGGAAUCUGCCCGAUAGUGGGGGACAACGUUUCGAAAGGAACGCUAAUACCGCAUACGUCCUACGGGAGAAAGCAGGCUUAGGCUUGCGCUAUCGGAUGAGCCCAUGUCGGAUUAGCUUGUUGGUGAGGUAAUGGCUCACCAAGGCGACGAUCCGUAACCUGGUCUGAGAGGAUGAUCAGUCACACCGGAACUGAGACACGGUCCGGACUCCUACGGGAGGCAGCAGUGGGGAAUAUUGGACAAUGGGGGCAACCCUGAUCCAGCCAUGCCGCGUGUGUGAAGAAGGCCUUCGGGUUGUAAAGCACUUUCAGCGAGGAGGAAAGCAGUAAGGUUAAUACCCUUAUUGUGUGAACGUACUCG
This 480-nucleotide ribosomal RNA is filed under the name Oceanospirillaceae bacterium S-C57. RNAcentral's name for it is "bacterial SSU rRNA". It matches the Rfam family "Bacterial small subunit ribosomal RNA", at positions 1 to 481 of the family's 1533-position model. Lineage: Bacteria; Pseudomonadati; Pseudomonadota; Gammaproteobacteria; Oceanospirillales; Oceanospirillaceae. The record is from RNAcentral.